AACGUAGGAGGCAAGCGUUAUCCGGAGUUACUGGGCGUAAAGAGUGCGUAGGCGGAUUGAUAAGUGGGUGGUGAAAGCGCCCGGCUAAACCGGGCGAGGUCCAUUCAGACUGUCAGUCUAGAGGCGGAUAGAGGGGUGCGGAAUUCCGGGUGUAGCGGUGAAAUGGGUAGAGAUCCGGAGGAACACCAGUGGUGCAAACGGCGCCCUGGGUCCGAACUGACGCUGAAGCACGAAAGCGUGGGGAGCGAACGGG
RNAcentral lists this ribosomal RNA (253 nucleotides) under uncultured bacterium. RNAcentral describes it as "partial 16S ribosomal RNA". It matches the Rfam family "Bacterial small subunit ribosomal RNA", at positions 524 to 776 of the family's 1533-position model. The record is from RNAcentral.